GUGAAUCUGGAAACUAAAGGGAGUGGUAAAAUGUGGGACUGUUAGCGCUGCGCCCUGCAAACAGGGCCUCCUGACUGUCAGCCAGGUGACCGGCUCCCUGGAGAGCAGCGGUCCAAACCUGACUGAGGGAUGGCAGGUGGGGGCCAACUGCCUGUCCUUGAAGUUAAUAAAACAAGACCAGCCGGCUCUCACGGAGCUCUGCUCAGUCCCCAGCACUAUGCUCAGUGGGAUUUCUGGUUUCUGAUGGGAGGGAAAGCAGGGCCUGUCUCCAGGGGCUACAGACCACCCCCUCCUUCUUGCCUUCUGCCUGCAGCCCAGGUAUGCUGCUCAGAACCAAACCAACCUGCCCUCCCCGGGAGCCAGCAUCAGGGUGACAGCAAUGAGACAAGACUGAGAUCUCCUGACCAGGAAUCCUAACAUGGUGGUGGCCUGUGGAUGACCUCUGGGGGACCAGGGCCCCCUCCCCCAACUUGAUCAAUAUUCUGCAUCUGAGCCUUCUUCCCAAGAGAAGUUUCAGCACGUUUACCAGAUUUUCAGAGUCUGUGGCUCCUUCUCUCAAGCUGCGUCAGUGAAGUCCCAAGGUCCUCCCAGCAGCCCUUCAAGGUAUGGAGACGAGGCUGCUCCCUGCAAAUCACCUGGCGUUCAUCAGGGCAAUCAACACGUGCUGCUCUCCCCAUGCAACACACAGAAAAGAAUUCCAGAAAGAGUCCCAGUAUCCUCCCGUGUAACGUGAGAAUGGUAAUGACGAGGAGCUGAUGCCCUCGCUGGGAGGAUUCACGGUGAGAGCAGAUGGCAGAGAACUCGGCUCAGGCCAGUGUGAGAGCUCUUGGAAGGGUGAUGGUUGCUUCCUUCCAACUGACCUUCCUAGAAUCUCUGGUGGGGCUGUAGUUACACCCCCGGAUCCUACUCCAGGUGCUGUUGGCCCAACACCCACCUACAGGAGACACACAGAAGCUGGGGAAGAUGAGAGAGACGGAGGCCCCUUGACUCCAAGAUUUGGGGGUUGAAACCUUGUGAUUGUAUAAUUAAGACAAACAUGUAGACGUUAAAGGGGAGAAUGUAAAAGUUGCCUAACAUUUAAAGAUAAAACACAAAACUUCAGAGAAAUCUCAUGCUUGCUUUGGGCCAUGCCUCUGGGGUGGGGCUAGGAAGUGUCCUCAGGCUCCUCUGAGCUCAGGGCGCUUGGGGGUGGAUGGAAUCACAGGUUGGGACCCAGGGGGCAAAGAGGAGCACCAGAGGCCAACAAGGGUCUGCUGAUAAAUUCUUCUCAUUUUUCAAACUGUGAAACUCUUUACUGUCUUUUUAAAAGUAAUUUUAAGUUUCAGUAAACACUGCAUGAUCAUUGUAAAACACACACACACAGUGAAAUGUACAAAGGAGAAACAAAAAUUGGUUUCUCCUUCCCCUAGAGCAUUGAGUCAGUAAUUUGGUGUUUGUCCAGCCAUUCGUCUUCCUGUUCAUGUACACACACAGAGACACAAUUACACAGACUAGCACAGAUAUGCACA
This is a non-coding RNA of Delphinapterus leucas (beluga whale), 1508 nucleotides long. The record is from RefSeq and is a predicted model, not a curated record. Lineage: Eukaryota; Metazoa; Chordata; Mammalia; Artiodactyla; Monodontidae.